RNAcentral lists this ribosomal RNA (253 nucleotides) under uncultured bacterium. RNAcentral describes it as "partial 16S ribosomal RNA". It matches the Rfam family "Bacterial small subunit ribosomal RNA", at positions 524 to 776 of the family's 1533-position model. The record is from RNAcentral.
GACAGAGGAUGCAAGCGUUAAUCGGAAUUACUGGGCGUAAAGAGUGUGUAGGCGGUGCUCUAAGUUCGGUGUGAAAUCUCCUGGCUUAACUGGGAGGGUGCGCCGGAAACUGGGGUGCUCGAGCGUGGGAGAGGAAAGCGGAAUUCCUGGUGUAGCGGUGAAAUGCGUAGAUAUCAGGAGGAACACCUGUGGUGUAGACAGCUUUCUGGACCAUUGCUGACGCUGAGACACGAAAGCGUGGGUAGCAAACAGG